This 668-nucleotide long non-coding RNA is filed under the name Pan troglodytes (chimpanzee). Its description in RNAcentral is "lincRNA". The record is from RNAcentral. Lineage: Eukaryota; Metazoa; Chordata; Mammalia; Primates; Hominidae.
CAGCUCCCACACAACGGGGUUUCGGGGCUGUGGACCCUGUGCCAGGAAAGGAAGGGCGCAGCUCCUGCAAUGCGGAGCGGCCAGGGCAGUGGGCACCAGGCUUUAGCCUCCCUUUCUCACCCUACAGAGGGCAGGCCCUUCAGCUCCAUUCUCCUCCAAGGCUGCAGAGGGGGCAGGAACUGGGGGUGACAGGAGAGCUGUAAGGUCUCCAGUGGGUCAUUCUGGGCCCAGAGAUGGGUGCUGAAGCUCCCACGCCUGCCUGUGAAAAUGGAGUCCUCUCUCACCUGGGAGAGCCAGGUGCUGCCCCGAGAAGGAUGCAUUUAUGGCUUCAUGAAGUCUUUCCUGACCCACGAUGCUGCUGACUAUAGAGACAAAGUCUCACUAUGUUGCUCAGGCUGGUCUUGAACUCCUGGCCUCAAGCGAUCCUCCCACCUUAGCCUCCCAAAGUGUUGGGAUUAUAGACAUGAGCCACUGCACCUGGCCGACCUUGGGCAAGUUCUUAAACCCUUCAAAGCCUCAUUUUUCUCCAAUCAUAAAAGGGAAAGAUGGUAAUAUUUUCCCCGCCAAAUUCUUGUAAGUAUUAAAUAUUGUAUAUGUAUGUUGAACAUGAUUAAGCUCUAAACACUUGUUAGGAAGCAGGAGUAGCAUUUGAAACAAACAGCUCUUUU